This 706-nucleotide ribosomal RNA is filed under the name marine bacterium AK6_065. RNAcentral describes it as "bacterial SSU rRNA". It matches the Rfam family "Bacterial small subunit ribosomal RNA", at positions 226 to 926 of the family's 1533-position model. The record is from RNAcentral.
UGAGCCUAAGUCGGAUUAGCUAGAUGGUGGGGUAAAGGCCUACCAUGGCGACGAUCUGUAGCUGGUCUGAGAGGAUGAUCAGCCACACCGGGACUGAGACACGGCCCGGACUCCUACGGGAGGCAGCAGUGGGGAAUAUUGGACAAUGGGGGAAACCCUGAUCCAGCCAUGCCGCGUGUGUGAAGAAGGCCUUUUGGUUGUAAAGCACUUUAAGCAGUGAAGAAGACUCUUCGGUUAAUACCCGGAGACGAUGACAUUAGCUGCAGAAUAAGCACCGGCUAACUCUGUGCCAGCAGCCGCGGUAAUACAGAGGGUGCAAGCGUUAAUCGGAAUUACUGGGCGUAAAGCGAGCGUAGGUGGCUUGAUAAGUCAGAUGUGAAAUCCCCGGGCUUAACCUGGGAACUGCAUCUGAAACUGUUAGGCUAGAGUAGGUGAGAGGGAAGUAGAAUUUCAGGUGUAGCGGUGAAAUGCGUAGAGAUCUGAAGGAAUACCGAUGGCGAAGGCAGCUUCCUGGCAUCAUACUGACACUGAGGCUCGAAAGCGUGGGUAGCAGACAGGAUUAGAUACCCUGGUAGUCCACGCCGUCAACGAUGUCUACUAGUCGUUGGGUCCCUUGAGGACUUAGUGACGCAGCUAACGCAAUAAGUAGACCGCCUGGGGAGUACGGCCGCAAGGGUUAAACUCAAUGAAUUGACGGGGGCCGCAC